ACGUACACUCCUACGGGAGGCAGCAGUGGGGAAUUUUGGACAAUGGGCGAAAGCCUGAUCCAGCCAUGCCGCGUGCAGGAUGAAGGCCUUCGGGUUGUAAACUGCUUUUGUACGGAACGAAACGGCCUUUUCUAAUAAAGAGGGCUAAUGACGGUACCGUAAGAAUAAGCACCGGCUAACUACGUGCCAGCAGCCGCGGUAAUACGUAGGGUGCAAGCGUUAAUCGGAAUUACUGGGCGUAAAGCGUGCGCAGGCGGUUAUGUAAGACAGUUGUGAAAUCCCCGGGCUCAACCUGGGAACUGCAUCUGUGACUGCAUAGCUAGAGUACGGUAGAGGGGGAUGGAAUUCCGCGUGUAGCAGUGAAAUGCGUAGAUAUGCGGAGGAACACCGAUGGCGAAGGCAAUCCCCUGGACCUGUACUGACGCUCAUGCACGAAAGCGUGGGGAGCAAACAGGAUUAGAAACCCGGGUAGUCCCAUGA
This 480-nucleotide ribosomal RNA is filed under the name uncultured organism. RNAcentral's name for it is "partial 16S ribosomal RNA". It matches the Rfam family "Bacterial small subunit ribosomal RNA", at positions 329 to 800 of the family's 1533-position model. The record is from RNAcentral.